Malurus melanocephalus (red-backed fairy wren) is the source of this 452-nucleotide long non-coding RNA. RefSeq lists it as uncharacterized. Lineage: Eukaryota; Metazoa; Chordata; Aves; Passeriformes; Maluridae. The transcript is spliced from 3 exons. The record is from RefSeq and is a predicted model, not a curated record.
GCCCUGUCGAGCCAGGCUCUGAUAUCCUGCCCACACAGGUGUAUGGAUAAUUUCUCUUUUUAUAUUCUUAACAUCAACACACUUCACCCCAAGAUUAAGACUGCUGGAGUGUCUCUGGGGUGCUCAAAAAACACGGAAAUUGAUAUUAUCUCCUUUGGCUACAAGUUUUCAUGUGUUUUGUGGAAUGAAUGGCUUGGACAAAGGCACUGGUAAAUCACCCGAAACAAGACUGCCUGACACUCAAAUAGCUGCUAAUGGUAGGUAGCUCCUUGACUCCCUGUUACAUCUCUCUCUUGUAUUUAAUCCUUCUCAGACCAUUAUGCAGAAGGACACUGCUUUGCUUAAAGGGUUAUCAGUGUCACCAGGCUCUGGAAAAGAUCUGGGGAUGUCUCAGCCACCUUUUUGCAGAUGGGAUUCAUGUGUGCUUUUGAAAGUAAACAGAGUCUCACUGA